AUUGAACGCUGGCGGAAUGCUUUACACAUGCAAGUCGAACGGCAGCAUAGGUGCUUGCACCUGAUGGCGAGUGGCGAACGGGUGAGUAAUACAUCGGAACGUGCCCAGUCGUGGGGGAUAACGUAGCGAAAGUUACGCUAAUACCGCAUACGAUCUACGGAUGAAAGCGGGGGACCGUAAGGCCUCGCGCGAUUGGAGCGGCCGAUGUUAGAUUAGGUAGUUGGUGGGGUAAAGGCUCACCAAGCCGACGAUCUAUAGCUGGUCUGAGAGGAUGAUCAGCCACACUGGGACUGAGACACGGCCCAGACUCCUACGGGAGGCAGCAGUGGGGAAUUUUGGACAAUGGGCGCAAGCCUGAUCCAGCCAUUCCGCGUGCAGGACGAAGGCCUUCGGGUUGUAAACUGCUUUUGUACAGAACGAAAAGCUUUGAGUUAAUACCUCGGGGUCAUGACGGUACUGUAAGAAUAAGCACCGGCUAACUACGUACG
This 488-nucleotide ribosomal RNA is filed under the name uncultured bacterium. Its description in RNAcentral is "bacterial SSU rRNA". It matches the Rfam family "Bacterial small subunit ribosomal RNA", at positions 30 to 509 of the family's 1533-position model. The record is from RNAcentral.